CCGGGGUCCUCCCCACGGCAGGGACCCUGUCCGGGACAGCCGGACACCACAGCGGGGUGCCCCCGGCCGCUGUGCCAAGGGGACCCCGCUCUGAACCGUGACUUUGUGGGGUGCCCCUGGGGAGGGGGCUCCUGGAAGAGGCUCCCUGACCCUGCAGCACCCAUAGGUGCUGUCGGGGGACGGGCAGAGCACCCCACACCCCCCCAGCAGCCCCUUCCCCACUGCCACCGUCCCCAGGCCGGGUCUGCGGGGCGCUGUCCCCGUUGUCCCUGUGCGCAUCGUCCCCACGGGAGCAACGCAGUGCGGCCCCCACCCCAACUACAAAAAGAGGAAACUCAUCAAAACCCAAAAACACGGAGCAGGAGCCGAGCUGUGGGGCGCUCGCUGCCGGGGCCCCGCUCCGUGGGAACCUCCCCAAAGCUCCCCCACAUUUCGGGGGGGCCCGGCCCCGCUGCUGUAACCCCGACACCCUCAGAGCUGAGAAAAAGGAUUUUCGGUUUCCCUCGCUUUGCUUUAGGGCUGCAGGCCCUGCACGAGCCAUUUCCUCAUCCUGCUCCUGGCGCUUCCCACACGGCCCUGAGCGCAGCCCAAGGGGGGUCCAGACCCUGCUCCCCCCAGUGUGUUUGGGGUUAUUUGAACAGCAAACAUCACACAGGCACCGGGGGGGCAUUUGGGGACAGGGAUACGGGGACAGUUAUGGGGUGGGAUGGGGAUGAGGAGGGGAUGGGAUGGGGAUGGGAUGGGAUGGGAUGGGGAUGGGGAUGGGAAUGGGAUGGGGAUGGGAUGGGGAUGGGAUCAGAUGGGGAGGGGGACAUUGGGGAUGGGGUGGGAUGGGGAUGGGAUGGGGAUGGGGAUGGGGAUGGGAUGGGAUGGGGAUGGGGAUGGGGAUACUGGGGACACCUCCCUGUCCCUUUUGGGGUAUGUGGGGGCUCUGCAGCCCUCCAAGACCCCCCCAAAACCCCCCCCGUGCGCCACAGCGUCCCCGGCGAGGGGGCUGGGGGCUCCUCUUUGGGGUCUCCAGCACCCCCCGGGACCUGGGGCGGGGGGCGAGCGGCAGCACCCAAGGGUGC
This 1070-nucleotide long non-coding RNA is filed under the name Anas platyrhynchos platyrhynchos (common mallard). Its description in RNAcentral is "lncRNA (ENSAPLG00000029921.1)". The record is from RNAcentral. Lineage: Eukaryota; Metazoa; Chordata; Aves; Anseriformes; Anatidae.